Molecule: long non-coding RNA, 511 nt
Organism: Pseudopodoces humilis (Tibetan ground-tit)
Lineage: Eukaryota; Metazoa; Chordata; Aves; Passeriformes; Paridae
Source: RefSeq, a predicted model, not a curated record
UCAGCUGCAAAUGUAAAUACAUCACAGGUGUCUUAGGUGGAGAGAAGCGAAUUCCGUCCCAAGUUAUUGUCAGUAUCAGGAAUGACUUCUUUUCCAACAGUGCCUGCAGAUCUACUGGGACAAACCCUUGUGCUGUGUUUUGCUGCCUUUCUCUGGCUGCCUCCCCCUGCUCGAGCGCAAAGGCCAGGAAUAUGACAGUCAAGGCUGAGAUACACAGGACAACUCCUUUCUCUUUUAAGGUAGCAAUCUGGUGAAACCCAGAAGGGAAAUGGCAAGACAAAUCUACAUCAAAAUGAAAAGAACAUUAAAUGAAGGAGCUGGAGCAGGUCGUUGCCUUCCACAUUCCUUUUUCUGGACAGGAACCUUAGAAAUUUACCACGGGGGUACGGGAGAAAGAAGCUAAAGUUUUGAGACUACAGUGUUUCAAGAAGCAUACCAAGCCCUUUCUCCCAGCAUUUUUAGGUUAAUGAUACAAUUGUAGCAACCAGCAAAAAUUUGAAUAUUAACAAUA